RNAcentral lists this ribosomal RNA (450 nucleotides) under uncultured bacterium. RNAcentral describes it as "partial 16S ribosomal RNA". It matches the Rfam family "Bacterial small subunit ribosomal RNA", at positions 354 to 796 of the family's 1533-position model. The record is from RNAcentral.
GUGGGGAAUCUUCCGCAAUGGACGAAAGUCUGACGGAGCAACGCCGCGUGAGUGAAGAAGGUUUUCGGAUCGUAAAGCUCUUUCGUUAGGGACGAACGUGCUCUUUGUGAAUAAUGAGGAGUAAUGACGGUACCUAAAUAAGAAGCCACGGCUAACUACGUGCCAGCAGCCGCGGUAAUACGUAGGUGGCAAGCGUUGUCCGGAAUUAUUGGGCGUAAAGCGCGCGCAGGCGGGAUAUCAAGUCUGUCUUAAAAGUGCGAGGCUCAACCUCGUGAGGGGACGGAAACUGGUAUUCUUGAGUGUCGGAGAGGAAAGUUGAAUUCCAAGUGUAGCGGUGAAAUGCGUAGAGAUUUGGAAGAACACCAGUGGCGAAGGCGACUUUCUGGACGAUGUCUGACGCUGAGGCGCGAAAGCUAGGGGAGCGAACGGGAUUAGAUACCCUGGUAGUCC